RNAcentral lists this unclassified non-coding RNA (295 nucleotides) under plant metagenome. RNAcentral's name for it is "partial contains small subunit ribosomal RNA and internal transcribed spacer 1". The stretch from base 1 to 46 matches the Rfam family "Eukaryotic small subunit ribosomal RNA", at positions 1786 to 1831 of the family's 1831-position model. The record is from RNAcentral.
AAGUCGUAACAAGGUUUCCGUAGGUGAACCUGCGGAAGGAUCAUUAAUUAAACGCGAAUUGUCGGGUGUCCACCACCCCUUCUGGGGGUGGAGAUCUGCGCCCCGACGUCCUUUUGAUUAUAUCCCAUCUGUGAACUUUUCCACUGUUGCUUCCGUGAGCCUGUGCUUUGCUCUCUCUUUUGAGAGUUGGAGUACCUGAAAAGCUCUGGCUCUGCCAGGGGCGCACGGCAAUGGUACCACAACUCUGGUUUUAUGUUGUUCAAGUCUGAGUGGUUAACACACAAACAAGUUAAAA